ACUGAACGCUGGCGGAAUGCUUUACACAUACAAGUCGAACGGCAGCACGGACUUCGGUCUGGUGGCGAGUGGCGAACGGGUGAGUAAUGUAUCGGAACGUGCCCAGUCGUGGGGGAUAACAUAGUGAAAAUUACGCUAAUACCGCAUACGAUCUAUGGAUGAAAGCGGGGGAUCGCAAGACCUCGCGCGAUUGGAGAGGCCUAUAUCAGAUUAGGUAGUUGGUGGGGUAAAGGCCCACCAAGCCAACGAUCUGUAGCUGGUCUGAGAGGACGACCAGCCACACUGGAACUGAGACACGGUCCAGACUCCUACGGGAGGCAGCAGUGGGGAAUUUUGGACAAUGGGCGAAAGCCUGAUCCAGCCAUUCCGCGUGCAGGAUGAAGGCCCUCGGGUUGUAAACUGCUUUUGUACAGAACGAAAAGGUUUCUACUAAUACUAGGAGCUCAUGACGGUACUGUAAGAGUAAGCACCGGCUAACUACGUGCCAGCCGCCGCCGUAA
RNAcentral lists this ribosomal RNA (500 nucleotides) under uncultured bacterium. RNAcentral describes it as "partial 16S ribosomal RNA". It matches the Rfam family "Bacterial small subunit ribosomal RNA", at positions 30 to 523 of the family's 1533-position model. The record is from RNAcentral.